This 497-nucleotide ribosomal RNA is filed under the name uncultured bacterium. RNAcentral describes it as "partial 16S ribosomal RNA". It matches the Rfam family "Bacterial small subunit ribosomal RNA", at positions 28 to 507 of the family's 1533-position model. The record is from RNAcentral.
GAUGAACGCUGGCGGCGUGCCUAAUACAUGCAAGUCGAGCGAACAGAUGAGGAGCUUGCUCCUCUGACGUUAGCGACGGACGGGUGAGUAACACGUGGAUAACCUACCUAUAAGACUUGGAUAACUUCGGGAAACCGGAGCUAAUACCGGAUAAUAUAUUGGACCGCAUGGUUCAAUAGUGAAAGACGGGUUUUCUGUCACUUAUAGACGGAUCCGCGCCUCAUUAGCUAGUUGGUAAGGUAACGGCUUACCAAGGCGACGAUGCGUAGCCGACCUGAGAGGGUGAUCGGCCACACUGAAACUGAGACACGGUACAGACUCCUACGGGAGGCAGCAGCAGGGACGCUUGCGAGAUGGGCGAAAGCCUGACGGAGCAACGCCGCGUGAGUGAUGAAGGUCUUCGGAUCGUAAAACUCUGUUAUUGGGGAAGACCAAAUGUGUAAGUAACUAUGCACGUCUUGACGGUACCUAAUCAGAAAGCCACGGCUAACUACGUG